UGGCGCGUAGCUCAGCGGUGAGAGCGGCGUCCUUAUAAGACGCAGGUCGUGGGUUCAACUCCCAUCGCGCCGA
Molecule: transfer RNA, 73 nt
Filed under: Planctomycetaceae bacterium
Lineage: Bacteria; Pseudomonadati; Planctomycetota; Planctomycetia; Planctomycetales; Planctomycetaceae
Also listed under: 2 other names
Description: tRNA-Ile
Rfam family: tRNA
About the family: Transfer RNA (tRNA) molecules are approximately 80 nucleotides in length. Their secondary structure includes four short double-helical elements and three loops (D, anti-codon, and T loops).
Source: RNAcentral